This 1843-nucleotide long non-coding RNA is filed under the name Sitophilus oryzae (rice weevil). RNAcentral's name for it is "uncharacterized LOC115884210, transcript variant X2". The record is from RNAcentral. Lineage: Eukaryota; Metazoa; Arthropoda; Insecta; Coleoptera; Curculionidae.
UACGCUGACAUUUGACGUAUUCAUUCAACUUUUGUCCAACGGAGCAUUGUUGCGAGUUUUCUGCGACCGUUGGAAGUGUUUGUGGAUUUCGGACAACUUUCGAAUAAUUAUUAGUGUUUAUUGCAAAGAAAACUAUUUAAAGUAGUUUUUUAACUAUCUACAAUGGUUCACCAGUGCAUAGUUUGUUAAAGGUGGACUAUUCUAACUCCUGAUUGAUAUUUGGACGCGUUCCUAUAAUUACUGAGCUUAGACAAUGAUCGAUUUCACUCUUGAAUUUGAAAAAUCAAACUAAUGUGUGUCCAAAUUUGUUCUGAUGAUUUUGAUAAGAGCAAUAUUAUGAUCGCCGAAUUAACUGAUCGAAGGCAAAUAAGACCAAAUUCUGAGCCUCAAAUAGAUAGUACCAUUUUUGCUGGGGCUUUAUCAUACAGGUUUUCUUCUAGUUUGUACCGCCACCCAAAAAAUGUUUUAGGUAAAUGAACCUCCAGACCAGCUGAGGGACUAGAGAAGGUCCCUACCUAGUCCCGCGAUUGGCAGUUUGGCUGGCCCCUCAAAUUUGAUUUUGCCUAAAAUCAUACAAGAUAAACUAGCCCUUCUCAAGAAGCCCUUCCCUCAAAACAACAGAAACGGCAUUGGAAAAAGAAGUUGGAAUUAACCAGUAUGUGCUCUUUCAUAGUAAGACAAUCCUCAUCUUCUGAUCUCUCAAUAGUUGGAUAUUUAUUAUCUCAAGAAAGUCGUCAAAGUAUCAGAAAAAGAAAGAAGUAUGUUAAUGAGGCAUUAUAAUGAUAUUAUGUAGAAAUUUAAGUCUUGUAAAAAUUUGGAAACAAAGAAAAUGAAAAAUACAUACUUUACAAAUAGGUCUUAGAAGAUUGAAAAAUAAAAUAAUAUCAAUGCAUCAGUUAAUUGAUUACUUAAAAGAAAAAUCUUUGAUAAGUGAAUCAACUGAAUUGACGAUUCAGGUUUCCUUAGCUGAACCAGUACAAAGUAUUUUUGAAAGAAUGUUAAAAGGACCUGCCACACAAAAAUCCAAUCUUCUGCUACUAUCCUUUGCUUUAACAUUGUCAUUUUAUUUGCCGAAAACAGAAUUUAUAAGGGAUACAUAAACUGGCCCAGAGUUUUCUUAGGAGGCCUCUAAAUUCCAUUUAGUUUUCAACAAUAUUUUUGAUAUUUUUAACUCUCAGAAUGGAUUUACAAAAUAUUCAUAUAAAAAAAUUAUCAAAAAUAUAAGAACAACAUACUUUUUAAUAAUUUUGAAAUAAUUAAAUUGUAUAUUAUUGGACUUACUUUAAAAGAAAGGUCAACCAUAGUCACAAAGAAAAACGGGAUUUUUGGGCUUUCUAAUUUGUAUGGAAAGCUUACAACGUAUGUAUAAAUACUAUGUAAAAGAAAAUCAAUUAUUAAAAUAUAUUUUGACUAACUGGUGGAGGUCCACGUAUACAAAAAGCAAAAACGGAAGAUAAUAAUAUAUUCAAUUAAUGUAAAAAUGAGAAGAGCAUUGUGGGAUUAAAAAACAUGAUGGUGAUAGAUUGUCUAAAACUAAUAGGAGUACUGGUAUUUCUCAAAACAAAACUGAUGGUUACAAAGAAACAGAAGAAAAGGGAAGAUAUUAAUUUACUAGACAAAAGGCUGUUCUUUUGUAAUAUGGAGAUGGGCAAAAUUCAAAGUAGUAGUAUUCAAAACAGAGAAGAACAUAAGCUAAAGAAAAAAAGGGUUGUUAGACAUUGAAAUAAAAAAAGAACAGUAAAAUUCUCAAAGAGAACUUAUUUAAUAAUUUUAAUUAGUGUUUAUAUUGUAAUGUAAAAAAUGUAAUGUAUGUUAUUUCUGAAUAAAAGACAUUUAAUAAUGA